Molecule: RNase P RNA, 372 nt
Filed under: Muribaculaceae bacterium
Lineage: Bacteria; Pseudomonadati; Bacteroidota; Bacteroidia; Bacteroidales; Muribaculaceae
Description: RNase P RNA component class A
Rfam family: Bacterial RNase P class A
About the family: Ribonuclease P (RNase P) is a ubiquitous endoribonuclease, found in archaea, bacteria and eukarya as well as chloroplasts and mitochondria. Its best characterised activity is the generation of mature 5'-ends of tRNAs by cleaving the 5'-leader elements of precursor-tRNAs.
Source: RNAcentral
AUGGCCGGAGGGUCUGUCGCUCGCACUGCCUGUAAAGUGCGGGAGGAAAGUCCGGGCAACGCAGAGCACCAUAUUCUCUAACGGAGAGCUAUCGGUAACGGUAGAGUAGUGUGACAGAAAACAACCGCCGCCCCGUGCGGUAAGGGUGAAAAGGUGAGGUAAGAGCUCACCGGGCGGCGCAGCAAUGCGCCGUGCCGCAUGCCUUAUGGGUUGCAAGGUCAAGUAUACCGGCAUUUAAGGGCUGCUCGUCCAUUGUCGGGGGGUAGACUGCUAACGGCCGUAAGGCCAGAUAAAUGACAGACGACCAGACGCAUCUCCGCUUGCCGGAAAGUACGUCGGCCACAUAACCCGGCUUAUACUCCGACCAUGACU